AUCAGGUUGAAACAGCAGUUCCCAUAUGAUCACCAGAGUUAAGCAAAGUCAUGCUGGGUCAGUACCUAGAUGGGUGACUGCUUAGGAAUACCAGGUCCUGUAA
Molecule: non-coding RNA, 103 nt
Organism: Acanthosepion pharaonis
Lineage: Eukaryota; Metazoa; Mollusca; Cephalopoda; Sepiida; Sepiidae
Source: the annotation of a GenBank genome assembly